UACGUAGGUGGCAAGCGUUGUCCGGAAUUAUUGGGCGUAAAGCGCGCGCAGGCGGCCUCUUAAGUCUGAUGUGAAAGCCCCCGGCUCAACCGGGGGAGGGCCAUUGGAAACUGGGAGGCUUGAGUAUAGGAGAGAAGAGUGGAAUUCCACGUGUAGCGGUGAAAUGCGUAGAGAUGUGGAGGAACACCAGUGGCGAAGGCGACUCUUUGGCCUAUAACUGACGCUGAGGCGCGAAAGCGUGGGGGAGCAAACAGG
This 255-nucleotide ribosomal RNA is filed under the name uncultured bacterium. RNAcentral describes it as "partial 16S ribosomal RNA". It matches the Rfam family "Bacterial small subunit ribosomal RNA", at positions 524 to 776 of the family's 1533-position model. The record is from RNAcentral.